CCUACGGGGGGCAGCAGUGGGGGAUAUUGGACAAUGGGGGGAACCCUGAUCCAGCGACGCCGCGUGAGUGAAGAAGUAUUUCGGUAUGUAAAGCUCUGUCAGCAGGGAAGAAAGAAAUGACGGUACCUGACCAAGAAGCCCCGGCUAACUACGUGCCAGCAGCCGCGGUAAUACGUAGGGGGCAAGCGUUAUCCGGAAUUACUGGGUGUAAAGGGAGCGUAGACGGUUAAGUAAGUCUGGAGUGAAAGGCCGGGGCCCAACCCCGGGACUGCUCUGGAAACUAUUGAACUUGAGUGCAGGGGAGGUAAGCGGAAUUCCGAGUGUAGCGGUGAAAUGCGUAGAUAUUAGGAGGAACACCAGUGGCGAAGGCGGCUUACUGGACUGUAACUGACGUUGAGGCUCGAAAGCGUGGGGAGCAAACAGGAUUAGAUACCCGGGUAGUC
This 443-nucleotide ribosomal RNA is filed under the name uncultured bacterium. Its description in RNAcentral is "partial 16S ribosomal RNA". It matches the Rfam family "Bacterial small subunit ribosomal RNA", at positions 338 to 795 of the family's 1533-position model. The record is from RNAcentral.